GCGGAUGUGGCGGAACUGGUAGACGCGCUAGAUUUAGGUUCUAGUGUCGAGAGACGUGGGGGUUCGAUUCCCUCCAUCCGCACCA
Molecule: transfer RNA, 85 nt
Filed under: Magnetococcales bacterium
Lineage: Bacteria; Pseudomonadati; Pseudomonadota; Magnetococcia; Magnetococcales
Description: tRNA-Leu
Rfam family: tRNA
About the family: Transfer RNA (tRNA) molecules are approximately 80 nucleotides in length.
Source: RNAcentral